UAUUUAAUAUAUAUAUAUUAUAUAAAGGAAAAUCAUAUAUAUACAAAGUAUAAUAAUAUAUUCCAUCAUAUUUAUAUAAUAUAAAUAUGAUGAAAUAUUAUAUAAAAAAUAAUGAUAAAUAUAAAUAAAUAUAAAAUUAUCAUCUCUAUUACCUUUCAUUGGAGAAGGCAACUCCUAUAAAUAAGUAUAAGGAGAAGAUAAAUAAAAUGUAACAUAAUACUUAAUAAAUAUAUAUAUCUAUAUUAUUAUUCUAUAUCUCUUCCUUGUUUUAUAGGAAGCUAUAAUAUAAAUAUAUAAAUGAUAAGAAUAAAUAAUAAAAAGAUACGUUAAUAAUAAAUUAUAUAAAAUAUAAUUUAUAUUAUAUAAUAAUAGCUAAUUACUUCAAUAUUUUAAUUAUAAGAAUUACUUCUAUUAUAUAGUUUCUUUCUAUUAAUAUAAAUAAUAUUAGUAAGGAGUAAAUAUUAAACUAUAAGUUAUAUAAAAUAUAACACAACUAUGUUUAUAUAUAAUAUA
This 513-nucleotide unclassified non-coding RNA is filed under the name Naumovozyma castellii. Its description in RNAcentral is "RNase P RNA". The record is from RNAcentral. Lineage: Eukaryota; Fungi; Ascomycota; Saccharomycetes; Saccharomycetales; Saccharomycetaceae.